CUUAUUGAAAAUUUGGAAUUUUGAAGAUUUGAAAGAUAACUAUCAGAGUGUUCUGUUUUAUCUUUUUCCUUCUGAGGGUUAAGAUAGUGUCAUAAAUUAAGGGCAUUGUAUGGUCCAGGUUUUGAUUGAAGAAAAUCUUAUCAUCUGUAGUGUACAUUGUAUUGAGGGUCUGUCAGUUGAAGAACUUUAACAUGUACACUACAGAUGAUAAGAUUUUCUUCAAUCAAAACCUGGACCAUACAAUGCCCUUAAUUUAUGACACUAUCUUAACCCUCAGAAGGAAAAAGAUAAAACAGAACACUCUGAUAGUUAUCUUUCAAAUCUUCAAAAUUCCAAAUUUUCAAUAAGCAGACAAUCUAAUU
RNAcentral lists this unclassified non-coding RNA (362 nucleotides) under Hevea brasiliensis (rubber tree). The record is from RNAcentral. Lineage: Eukaryota; Viridiplantae; Streptophyta; Magnoliopsida; Malpighiales; Euphorbiaceae.